GUGGGGAAUAUUGGACAAUGGGGGGAACCCUGAUCCAGCCAUGCCGCGUGUGUGAAGAAGGCCUUUUGGUUGUAAAGCACUUUAAGCGAGGAGGAGGCUACUCUAGUUAAUACCUAGGGAUAGUGGACGUUACUCGCAGAAUAAGCACCGGCUAACUCUGUGCCAGCAGCCGCGGUAAUACAGAGGGUGCGAGCGUUAAUCGGAUUUACUGGGUGUAAAGCGUGCGUAGGCGGCUUUUUAAGUCGGAUGUGAAAACCCUGAGCUUAACUUAGGAAUUGCAUUCGAUACUGGGAAGCUAGAGUAUGGGAGAGGAUGGUAGAAUUCCAGGUGUAGCGGUGAAAUGCGUAGAGAUCUGGAGGAAUACCGAUGGCGAAGGCAGCCAUCUGGCCUAAUACUGACGCUGAGGUACGAAAGCAUGGGGAGCAAACAGGAUUAGAAACCCGGGUAGUCC
Molecule: ribosomal RNA, 451 nt
Filed under: uncultured bacterium
Lineage: Bacteria
Description: partial 16S ribosomal RNA
Rfam family: Bacterial small subunit ribosomal RNA
Source: RNAcentral